RNAcentral lists this ribosomal RNA (224 nucleotides) under uncultured bacterium. RNAcentral describes it as "partial 16S ribosomal RNA". It matches the Rfam family "Bacterial small subunit ribosomal RNA", at positions 112 to 334 of the family's 1533-position model. The record is from RNAcentral.
CGGACGUCGGGUAACCGUGCCUCACACAGGGGAGUAGCAGUUGGAAACGGCUGAUAAUACCGCAUAAGCGCACAGUACCGCAUGGUACAGUGUGAAGAACUCCGGUGGUGUGAGAUGGACCCGCGUCUGAUUAGCUAGUUGGCAGGGUAACGGCCUACCAAGGCAACGAUCAGUAGCCGACCUGAGAGGGUGACCGGCCACAUUGGGACUGAGACACGGCCCAG